GGCGCCGACGGGCCGCGCGGGGAGGAGCUGGCGGGGCCGCGCGGGCUCACUCACGGGCGGGCCGGGGCUCGUCGGGGCGCCCCCCGGGGCGGCGGCGGCGGCGGCGGCGGCGGCGGAGCGGGAGCCCGAGCCCGAGCCCGAGCGGCGCGGGCGGCGGCGCAUCGAUGCGCUGCGGGCUCGAUUGCGUCUCCCUGGGCCAGCUCCUGGGCCGGGAAUGGGGCGGCCGCGGCGGGGCUGGCUCGGGGCGCUGCCGGGCGGCGCUGGCGGGGCUGCGGGGGCGGCCGCCGGGCCGCGGUCCGGGGGGCGGGGGGGGCUGCUCCCGCGCGCUCCGGCGGGGCCGGGGGGGCUGCCCUGGACCCCGCGCCCCGCAGUCCCGGCGAGGGCCGGCCGGAGCCCCGCGCCCUGGGACUGGCUGCCGGCGCGCUCCCGGAGCUGCAAGCCCCGGCCUCCUUCCUUUUUCCUUUUUCCCCUUCCUUCCUCCUUCCUCCUCCCCCCCGUUUUUUUUCUUUUUUUUUUUUAGUUUCCUUUUCUUGCGUUUCUUUCCCCGUCUUCCUCGGCCCCCCUCGCCGUCCCUUUUCCUUUGUGGCUGUCUGUGCAAGUUUGUUUCAAAAGUUCACGGGCACCUUUCACGCUUUCUUUUCUUCUAGACCCGGGAGACCGCGGUCUCACCCAGACGGCAGGAUCGCUCGGCCCCGCUCGCCCCCACCCGCGGGCCUGCGCUCGGGCCACCCGCCUCCCGGUGCAGAUGCGCGGCGGCCGGCCUCCCGCCUCGGGCCGUAAGGGCGCGCGCAGGGGCGCUCGGAGCUGCGGGGUGCGGGGUGCGGGCCCCGCGCGGCGGCGGGGGAGGCGGAGGCGGCGGCGGGCUGCGGGGGGCGGCGGGGGGGGGGCGCGGCGAGCGGCGGCGGGAGCCGCUGCCCCCCUCCAGGCCCCGGAGACGCGGCCGCGGGGCGUGAAACGCUUCUUGCGAACGAGGAAACGACGGAGAAAGGGCAGGGCCGCGUGUCGGAGAAGCCGGAGCUUUGCGGGCAGCUCCCGGCGCCAUUCUCCAAGAAUGCUGACCUCCUCCGCCGGGGCUGCAGGUUCCCCUGCUUCUGCUUCUUGCUUUCCACCCCAGCCCCCUGCCCCACGGUCCGCAGGACACAGACCUUCCUAUCUGAGCUGCACGGCCGGGCCACAGGGUCUGCUUUGCGCUCCCCUGAGAAGUUCAGGGGAAGGGCGCACGGAAGGACCCGACUCCUCGCUCGGACCUCUGCGGGGUGGCAGGUUACCCGCCUCUGUUCCCACUGCAGAUAUCUGUGUCGGGGUGUCCGGGGAGUUCCGCCUCCCCGGAGCGGGUCAAACCCUGUGCUUGCCUUCGUUCCGCGAUUCGCGACUUAGGAGGGAUGAGCAGCCGCUUCCCGCGAGCGCGGGGAGGAGGAGGCCGAGCCGGCGGCGCACGGCGCUCCCGGGGGCUCCUGCUGCGGGAAGGCCGCCGCGCGCUCCGGGGUGCGGCCGAGCCGUGCGCCCCGGCGGCGGAGCUGCAAUUCUGCACGGGGCCCCCUCGGAGGAGGUGCGGACACCUCUGGAAAGCAUCGACAGGCUUCCCGCUCCCGCGCGAGCACCUGCUAACUUAGCCCAGCAAGGGAAGCGCCCUGGAAGCAGAGAAGCUGACUGCCUCCGCCUGCACACCCCACCGGGGACUGAGCCCCGGACCUCAGCCCCUGCCUAUGUGCUCAGGAUUUGGACCCUGGGGCCCUCACCAGGGGUUAAACUGUGUGCUAAGAGCGCAUUUACGCAUUUACACAGCAGCGAAAGUUUGUUUCUCUUUUUCCGGUAGCUUUGUUUUAAGGAACCAGAUGUUUUGUCUGUAAAUUCUCCCAAGAACUUUUACAGUUUUGACGUGAAAUAAACCUUUGAAAAUCGGAGCGGUAUAUUAAUGCCACUUCUGUGGGGCCUCGGGGUAGCCUCAUGGGGAGCCUGGGUGUGAGCUAGGGUGGAACUGCGUGCGGGUGGGGCAGCUCAAUCUUGGAAGAAAAGUAGGAGAGGGCUGUCUGCCAAGGUCAAGACUUGGUGUUGGGGUGUGAAGCCCCUCCCCCCAGCACACACAGGGAUACACCUGCCCCCACCCUUCCCCACCUGGGCUUUACUACUUUGUAAAUUUUUUGGAGCUGGUUGCACAGAGGUCUGGCCCAGUUUUGCCGACUGUGCUCGGCAUGCCCUCCACUCCCAGGAGGUCGGACCACUGGACUCAGGCCUGUGAUCUUCCCUGGCCAGGUAUGAUGUCCCUAGUCUUUGGGGGAGGGGCAGAGCAAGGGGGCCCCAGGGGGCCCCUGAACUCCCAGGGCAGCUGCACGGAGAAAACUGGGUGGAAGCCGAUCCUCCUCUUCAAUGCCUCAUUUUUAUGGACUCGGACUUUCCAGGCGGUUAUAAACGCAUUAAAACUAAAAGAAAACUAUCCCCCU
RNAcentral lists this long non-coding RNA (2441 nucleotides) under Canis lupus familiaris (dog). RNAcentral describes it as "lncRNA (ENSCAFG00040004126.1)". The record is from RNAcentral. Lineage: Eukaryota; Metazoa; Chordata; Mammalia; Carnivora; Canidae.